Molecule: ribosomal RNA, 492 nt
Filed under: uncultured bacterium
Lineage: Bacteria
Description: partial 16S ribosomal RNA
Rfam family: Bacterial small subunit ribosomal RNA
Source: RNAcentral
AUUGAACGCUAGCGGCAUGCUUUACACAUGCCAGUCGAACGGCAGCACGAAAAGAGCUUGCUCUUUUUGGUGGCGAGUGGCGAACGGGUGAGUAAUGUAUCGGAACGUACCCAGUAGCGGGGGAUAACUACGCGAAAGCGUGGCUAAUACCGCAUACGCCCAACGGGGGAAAGGGGGGGAUCGCAAGACCUCUCACUAUUGGAACGGCCGAUAUCGGAUUAGCUAGUUGGUGGGGUAAAGGCUCACCAAGGCAACGAUCCGUAGCUGGUUUGAGAGGACGACCAGCCACACUGGGACUGAGACACGGCCCAGACUCCUACGGGAGGCAGCAGUGGGGAAUUUUGGACAAUGGGGGAAACCCUGAUCCAGCCAUCCCGCGUGUGCGAUGAAGGCCUUCGGGUUGUAAAGCACUUUUGGCAGGGAAGAAACGGCGCUGACUAAUACUUGGCGGAACUGACGGUACCUGCAGAAUAAGCACCGGCUAACUACGUG